Long non-coding RNA from Gopherus evgoodei (Goodes thornscrub tortoise), 764 nucleotides. RefSeq lists it as uncharacterized. The record is from RefSeq and is a predicted model, not a curated record. The transcript has 3 exons. Lineage: Eukaryota; Metazoa; Chordata; Testudines; Testudinidae.
GAUUGUUGGAGCUUGUGGCUCAGUUUUACCCAUUUUUAGCAGGACGUAUCUCAAAAUAUGGGAAUGCUGGCAAAGUUCUGAAUCUGAAGACAUAAUUACUUGUCAUAUUCUAGUUGUGUAAAUGUACUGCCUGAUUGCCCCUCCUUCCCUCCAGGACAUCACCGGAAAACACGAGGCAUCCAAAUUUUAAUCUUUCAUGGUCUAAAAUCUUGAAAGUCAAUCAGCGAUGCAUAACCAGAACUCCGCAAAGAAGCUCGAAGGUGCUGAAGAAGACAUCUGGGAUAGACAGAAAUCUUCCUCUUUCCAUGAAAUCCAUUUAAAAUACUCUUAAAUAGGUUAAAUCUGUGCAAGAUCCUUAUUGUGCCCAUGAUUAUUUUACAGAUGGGGAAUUGAUGCACUGAGAGAGACGAUAUGUUUACACUGCGACUGGGAGCGUCCUUCCCAACACAGGUAUACAGAUGUGUUUGCUGCACUCAAGCUACAGUAAUGUGCUAAAAAUAACAGUGUAGCAGGGCAUGGGGGUAGCACAGGCAGCAGCUCAGGCUACUUGCUGAGUACAAACCCACCUGGGCAUGCACUUGGGCAGCACGUCUGUCUCUCGAAGCUGGGAAGCAUGCUCCCACCUGCAGUGUAGACAUACCAUAAGUGACUUGCACAUGGUUACACAGAAAGUCUGUGGCAGUGUGGGGAAUAAAACCCUGGUCUCCCAAGAGAGUGUCCUAACCAUUGGUCCAGGGCCGGCCCACUACAUUUUGGGACCUGAG